AUUGCUUCUCGGCCUUUUGGCUAAGAUCAAGUGUAGUAUCUGUUCUUAUCAGUUUAAUAUCUGAUACGUCCCUUAUCUGGGGACCAUAUGUUAAAUUGAUUUUUUGGAACAGGGAGAUGGAAUAGGGGCUUGCUCCUUCCACUCCACGCAUCGACCUGGUAUUGCAUUGCCUCUGGGAACAGUACACUUCCC
Molecule: small nuclear RNA, 192 nt
Organism: Mobula hypostoma (lesser devil ray)
Lineage: Eukaryota; Metazoa; Chordata; Chondrichthyes; Myliobatiformes; Myliobatidae
Product: U2 spliceosomal RNA
Exons: 1
Source: RefSeq, a predicted model, not a curated record